Molecule: long non-coding RNA, 1849 nt
Filed under: Salmo salar (Atlantic salmon)
Lineage: Eukaryota; Metazoa; Chordata; Actinopteri; Salmoniformes; Salmonidae
Description: lncRNA (ENSSSAG00000109457.1)
Rfam family: UnaL2 LINE 3' element (bases 1477-1530)
Source: RNAcentral
GCUGCUGCUCAAAUGGACUUCUUCCCGUCUCUCACUUCCUUGGCUGCUCUCUCAAGAGCCUCGAGGGAGGCUAGACCCCUGCAUGUUUUACAUUUGUAACAAUACAAAAUACACUAUCUUGAGUUCAUAUGCAUGACACAUUGCAAAAAUACUAUGCAUAUUAUGCAUAAAACUGACAAAGCGUGUAAAUAUAUGGGGUAUGGUGGUCAUUGGCUCAACAUAUCCCGAGGUCAUUGGUCAUUGGCUCAACAUAUCCCGACGUCCUUGGUCAUUGGCUCAACAUAUCCCAUGGUUUAUUGGCUCAACAUAGCUCAAGGUCAUUGGUCAUUGGCUCAACAUAAUCCAUGGUCAUUGGCUCAACAUAUCCCAUGGUUUAUUGGCUCAACAUAUCUCAAGGUCAUUGGCUCAACAUAUCCCAUGGUUUAUUGGCUCAACAUAUCUCAAGGUCAUUGGCUCAACAUAUCCCAUGGUUUAUUGGCUCAACAUAGCUCAAGGUCAUUGGCUCAACAUAUCCCGAGGUCAUUGGUCAUUGGCUCAACAUAUCUCAAGGUCAUUGGCUCAACAUAUCCCGAGGUCAUUGGCUCAACAUAUCCCGAGGUCAUUGGUCAUUGGCUCAACAUAUCUCAAGGUCAUUGGCUCAACAUAUCCCGAGGUCAUUGGCUCAACAUAUCCCAAGGUCAUUGGCUCAACAUAUCUCAAGGUCAUUUUCUCAACUUACCCUGAAGUAAACAUUUGGACUAUAUUAGCCCACACCGCUACAAGGAUGCACUUUCAUGAAAGUUCUAUGACCUCAUAUCGUAGCUUAUAGAGAUCCCAACUGAUGUAUAAAACAAAUUUAAAAUGAUCUAUACUAAACUAAAAUAUAAACGAAACAUGUAAAGUGUCCCAUGUUUCAUGAGCUGAAAUAAAAGAUCCCAGAAAUUUUCCAUACGCACAUUAAGAUUAUCUCUCUCAAAUGUUGUGCACCAUUUUGUUUUAGAUUCCUGUUAGUGACAGGUGUGGCAUGCCAAGAAGCUGGUUAAACAGCAACAAUCAUUACACAGGUGAACCUUGUGCUGGGGGGACAAUAAAUGACCACUUUUAAAAUGUUUUUGUCACACAACACAAUGCCAGAGAUGUCUCAAGUUUUUGAGGGAGCAUGCAAUUGGCAAUGCCGACUGCAGAAAUGUCCACUGGAGCUGUGUUGCCAGAGAACUGAAUGUUCAUUUCUCAACCAUGCCUCGACCGACCGUUCCAAGAGAAGAUUUCAGGUAGAAAAUGUGUUUCUUCAAUACUGUGACUGCUCAUAUAAGUAGUGGUAUAUGAACUUUUCUUGUUCCCACAUAUUUUAUCAUCAUCAAAUAGCACAGAGAUUGAAAAAAAAAUCUACUAGAGGUUAAAGACGUCGGGACAGUAAACGAAAGGUCGCCGGUUUGAAUCCCUGAGCCGACAAGGUGAAACAUCUGCCGAUGAUCCCUUGAGCAAGGCACUUAUAACCCUAAUUGCUUUUGUAAGUCGCUCUGGAUAAGAGCGUCUGCUAAAUGACUAAAAUAUCAUGUAAAUGUAUUUGCCAAGACCUCUGCAGUUACACUAAAUGUCCACUAGAUGUCGAUCUAAGCCUAAGUAUUGUGUACAGUGUAUUUGUCAGUGAACAGCAGGAGGCUGGAUUAGUAAAGCUCCGAGGCCCACUGUCUGUUGUGUGGCGCUGUCUGUCUGUCUGUCUGUCUGUCUGUCUGUCUGUCUGUCUGUCUGUCUUUCUGUCUGUCUGUCUGUCUGUCUGUCUGUCUGUUUGUCUGUUUUGUGGCUGCUAUGUGCCACCUGCCUGCCUGCCUGCCUGUCUGUUUUGUGGCUGCUAUGUGCCACCUGCCUG